UCCCUUAGAUGUUCUGGGCCGCACGCGCGCUACACUGACGAAGUCAGCGAGCAUGUCCUACGCCGACAGGUGCGGGGAAUCUUGUCAAACUUCGUCGUGAUGGGGAUUGAUUAUUGAAAUUCUUGAUCAUCAACGAGGAAUUCCUAGUAAGCGCAAGUCAGCAGCUUGCGUUGAUUACGUCCCUGCCCUUUGUACACACCGCCCGUCGCUACUACCGAUUGAAUGGUUUAGUGAGAUCUUCGGAUUGGCGCCACUGCGGCUCAGCAAUGGGCUCGGUGGAUGCCGAAAAGUUGAUCAAACUUGAUCAUUUAGAGGAAGUAAAAGUCGUAACA
RNAcentral lists this ribosomal RNA (332 nucleotides) under uncultured eukaryote. Its description in RNAcentral is "partial 18S ribosomal RNA". It matches the Rfam family "Eukaryotic small subunit ribosomal RNA", at positions 1469 to 1796 of the family's 1831-position model. The record is from RNAcentral.